UGCACAUGUCUAAUUAGUCAGAAUUUUGUGUCAGAGGAUAUCUUAAUAUCGGAUGAAGUGAAAAUUAAGAAAAGAUUUAUCGUCUUUCCUACUGGGAGUUUGUUAAUGCCCUGUGAUGUUCAACUUCUGAAUCAAAGAAUGUUGUGUAUAAGAAAACUUCCAUGUUUCCUGUUCGUGCUUUGGUCAUUUUUCAGUACUAAUUGUG
Molecule: unclassified non-coding RNA, 205 nt
Filed under: Hevea brasiliensis (rubber tree)
Lineage: Eukaryota; Viridiplantae; Streptophyta; Magnoliopsida; Malpighiales; Euphorbiaceae
Source: RNAcentral